RNAcentral lists this long non-coding RNA (277 nucleotides) under Phoenix dactylifera (date palm). Its description in RNAcentral is "long non-coding RNA (PDAC_LNC008360)". Lineage: Eukaryota; Viridiplantae; Streptophyta; Magnoliopsida; Arecales; Arecaceae. The record is from RNAcentral.
CUUUGAAUGGGCCAUUUAUAUCCCCGCUAACAAGCGUGCUCCAUAGUGGAUCCAUUCGGAUCCGCAGCAUCUGCGUCUGCACCCUUUCGUAUUGCGCCCUGCAAUUCCGGGGCCGAGCACCUCUUUGAUUCGCGUGCCCCACCGACAAGACCGCCCCAUUCGGAUAAACCAUCACGUUGCUGCAAAACCACGCGGCCAUGAUAACCAUAUAUUUUUCCAAGAUAAGGUCCCGGUAGUCAUGCCUCCUCUGUCCUCUCAAGUUUCAGAUAACAUCCCG